Long non-coding RNA from Leptopilina boulardi, 406 nucleotides. RefSeq lists it as uncharacterized. NCBI's taxonomy places the organism in Eukaryota, Metazoa, Arthropoda, Insecta, Hymenoptera, Figitidae. The transcript has 3 exons. The record is from RefSeq and is a predicted model, not a curated record.
UAUUUUAAAGUGGUGUUUUGUGCAAGUAUAUAUCAAUUAUACAUGUGAUUGGAACGGGAUAACCUAGAAUUCUAAUUUUCAAAUUUUCUAAUUUACAUCAUUAGAAUCACUCGAAUAAUUAAGAAAUCAGAUUUCAAGGGAUGAAGAAUUAUCAUUUUAAAGAUGGAAAUUGAAAAAAUGUAUCUUGGUCUUUAAAAGCCUUUAAAGGUCUUACAUUCUUUUCCAAAAGUUGCUGAAGGCCCUAUUGCAGUACCAUGAUGAAAACAAUUUUGAUUCUUGUCUUUCUUCACAUCAAUUUUACCUAUGGUUUCAUUGGAUAUGACUGUGGAUCUCCAGAAAUGAAUGUUAAAACAUUUUCGCUUUUGGACGAUGAAAGUUGUAAUAUAGUCAACACCUCAAUAAGCAG